UGAAUACGAGAUGCUAAGGCGUCGAAGUAGUGUAUGUCAUACUUCCAAGAAAAGCUUGCACUGUCAUAAAUAAAGAAUGCCUGUACCAUAACCGACGCAGGUGGGUAGGUAGAGUAUACUAAGGGGCGCGAGAUAACUCUCUCCAAGGAACUCGGCAAAAUAACUCCGUAACUUCGGGAGAAGGAGUGCCUUAUUCGUAAGGCUGCAAUAACAAGAUCCAAGCAACUGUUUAUCAAAAACACAGGUCUCCGCUAAGUCGUAAGACGAUGUAUGGGGGCUGACGCCUGCCCAGUGCCAGAAGGUUAAAGAAGUUGGUUAGCAUUAGCGAAGCUGAUAACUGAAGCCCUGGUGAACGGCGGCCGUAACAAUAACGGUCCUAAGGUAGCGAAAUUCCUUGUCGGGUAAGUUCCGACCCGCACGAAAGGCGUAAUGAUUUGGAUACUGUCUCGGAGAGGGGCUCGGUGAAAUAGACUUGUCUGUGAAGAUGCGGACUACCUGCACCAGGACAGAAAGACCCUAUGAAGCUUUACUGUAACUUGAAAUUGAAAUUGGACUUUAGUCGCGCAGUAUAGGUGGGAGGCUUUGAUGAUACUCUUGCGGGAGUAUUGGAGCUAUCAGUGAGAUACCACUCUUCUAAUGUUAGAUUUCUAACUUUGAACCAUUAUCUGGUCAGAGAACAGUUUCAGGCGGGCAGUUUGACUGGGGCGGUCGCCUCCUAAAUGGUAACGGAGGCGUACAAAGGUUUCCUCUGAACGGGUAGAAAUCGUAUCUAGAGUGUAAAGGCAUAAGGAAGCUUGACUGUGAGACCUACAAGUCGAACAGGGACGAAAGUCGGUCUUAGUGAUCUGACGGUACUGAGUGGAAAGGCCGUCACUCAACGGAUAAAAGUUACUCUAGGAUAACAGGCUGAUCUCCCCCAAGAGUUCACAUCGACGGGGAGGUUUGGCACCUCGAUGUCGGCUCAUCGCAUCCUGGGGCGGUAGUACGUCCCAAGGGUUGGGCUGUUCGCCCAUGAAAGCGGUACGCGAGCUGGGUUCAGAACGUCGUGAGACAGUUCGGUCCAUAUCCGGUGUAGGCGUUAGAAUAUUGAGAGGAGCCUUUUUUAGUACGAGAGGACCGAGAAGGACAUACCUAUGGUGUACCAGUUAUCGUGCCAACGGUAAACGCUGGGUAGCUAAGUAUGGAGUGGAUAACCGCUGAAAGCAUCUAAGUGGGAAGCCCACCUCAAGAUGAGUAUUCUC
RNAcentral lists this ribosomal RNA (1241 nucleotides) under metagenome. RNAcentral describes it as "bacterial LSU rRNA". It matches the Rfam family "Bacterial large subunit ribosomal RNA", at positions 1564 to 2815 of the family's 2925-position model. The record is from RNAcentral.